This 236-nucleotide ribosomal RNA is filed under the name Abyssorchomene chevreuxi. RNAcentral describes it as "partial 16S ribosomal RNA". The record is from RNAcentral. Lineage: Eukaryota; Metazoa; Arthropoda; Malacostraca; Amphipoda; Lysianassidae.
CCCUAAAAGCUUUAUUUUAUUUAAAUAUUUAUAUCUAGUGUUAAAUAAUUUUACUGGGGUAGUGACUUUUGAUAUAUUGAAGUUCGGUGAACAUUAAAGUGGGGGUAGUUCUUAUACAUAAUAAAAAAUUGAUUAAGUUACUUUAGGGAUAACAGCGUAAUAAUUUCGGAAAGUCCAUAUUUAUGAGAUUGAUUGCGACCUCGAUGUUGAAUUAAAUAAUCUUAUUUGAGCAGAAG